RNAcentral lists this ribosomal RNA (251 nucleotides) under uncultured Stichotrichia. RNAcentral describes it as "partial Eukaryotic large subunit ribosomal RNA". It matches the Rfam family "Eukaryotic large subunit ribosomal RNA", at positions 3096 to 3384 of the family's 3401-position model. Lineage: Eukaryota; Ciliophora; Spirotrichea. The record is from RNAcentral.
AAGCUACCAUCUGUCGGAUUAUGUCUGAACGCCUCUAAGUCAGAAUCCGUGCUAGAAAGCAACAAUAAUUACCUCUGUGGAUAUUACACCGCAUAACAAUAGCCCGCAAGGGCCUAUAUCAUACCUGGCUUCGGCCUGAUAUUAAUUCCAAAUAUACACGGAGAUAAAUCCUUUGUAGACGACUUAAUUUGGAACUGGGUAUUGUAAGCAGUAGAGCAGCCUUGUUGCUGCGAUCUGCUGAGAUUCAUCCC